This 595-nucleotide long non-coding RNA is filed under the name Ananas comosus (pineapple). RNAcentral's name for it is "long non-coding RNA (ACOM_LNC023939)". Lineage: Eukaryota; Viridiplantae; Streptophyta; Magnoliopsida; Poales; Bromeliaceae. The record is from RNAcentral.
UUAAAUUUUAAAUUUUAAAUUUUAAAUUUCAUAAUUAUUUUAAAUUUUAAAUUUUUAAAUUUUUAAAAUUUUAAAUUAUUUUUUAAAUUAAAAUAUCAAUUUUAAAUUUUGUAUAAUUUUGAAAUUUAAAAUUUUAAUUUUAAUUGAAAUUGAAAUUGAAAUUUUAAAUUAUUUUAAAAUAAAAUUUAAUAAAAUAAUUAAUUUAUGCAAACAUUAAAAAAAAUUUCCAAACAGCUUUUCAAAAUUACUUCAGAAAAAUCGCUUUUAUCUAUACUCAGCCAAACGCUCUACAGCUUUUAACUAAAAUCACUUUUUUAAACCAAAAUCAUUUUUUCAUAAAUCACUUUUUCAGAAACUAAGCCAAACGAGCCCUUAAUCUUAACAACUCUUCUGAACGAAAGUCUUAUUUGUCACAGUAAUAACCAGAUAGGAUAUAUUUUGGUAUUUUAAAUCAACUUUAUGCUAUGUGCAGAAGUAAAGAAUCUAGUUUACAAGGGCACUAUAAUAAUUUUAGCAUUGAAAUGAUAUUUAAAAGACAAAAAAUUAUCAGGUGUUGAUGUGUUGGCAAUUCUAUAUAAUAAUCUUUGGUUACGUA